This 751-nucleotide long non-coding RNA is filed under the name Oryzias javanicus (javanese ricefish). Its description in RNAcentral is "lncRNA (ENSOJAG00000016727.1)". Lineage: Eukaryota; Metazoa; Chordata; Actinopteri; Beloniformes; Adrianichthyidae. The record is from RNAcentral.
GCCAAAAUAAUCCACAAAACUAUCAGAAUUUUUAAAACUUUAAAACAUUAACUUUUUAAGAUAAUUAUGAAUAAAAAAAAUGCAUGAAUAUUAUUUCAGAAUAAAUCAAUUUAAACCUAAAAUAACUUUCAAUAUUUUACUCUCCAUAAAAAUAUGUUUUGUCAAAAUUAUACAAGUUAGAAAUAAGUGCAAGAUAACAUCGGGCCAUUAAUAAUAGUUAAAUAAAAUGAUCUGGAGGGCCGGAUAGAAUUACCUGGAGGGCCGGAUCCGGCCCCGGGGCCUUGAAUUUGACACGGGAUCCUCAGGUAUGAUGUGGGCGACAAGUCACAGUCGGGCCCGCCGUGGUCGCAGUGAACACUGGCGUCUAACGGGAGUCAGACAAAAGCAGAGCAGAGCGGGACGUCGUUUUCCUUCUAUGCUUCCACAUGUUGCUGAGGACUGGUUGGAGAUCCGAGAGCGUUCCCUUCUCCACGCUGUGACAGCGGAGCGGCGCUCCGUCAGAAAACCCUGUUUGGAUGAAGCGUGACGGAUCAGGACGUCUCCUCACACUUUACUACAAACACUCAUCAGGCGUCGGUACUACACGAGGGACUCAUAAAGAAACCCUCACAUCGCACUACUCAUGCACCCACACUACGCAGGACUGUGUUUCCAUGGUAACAUCAGUGGAAGGGCUGGAGGCUGAGGCCAUUUUUAUUAUCCAACCUGAGGGAAAUACUAACAAACAUAAACGCACCGGAGGAAGCCGAGU